Molecule: transfer RNA, 75 nt
Filed under: Candidatus Nanoarchaeia archaeon
Lineage: Archaea; Nanobdellati; Nanobdellota; Candidatus Nanoarchaeia
Also listed under: 2 other names
Description: tRNA-Pro
Rfam family: tRNA
About the family: Transfer RNA (tRNA) molecules are approximately 80 nucleotides in length. Their secondary structure includes four short double-helical elements and three loops (D, anti-codon, and T loops).
Source: RNAcentral
CGGGGUGUAGCUCAGUGGCAGAGCGCUGCGUUCGGGACGCAGAGGCCGUUGGUUCAAAUCCAAUCACCCCGACCA